AUGUGGCAGUUGGUUAGGAGAGUUAUAGCAGGUAGGCUGAUUUAUGCAGGUAGGCAGGAGGUACCACAAGGUAGCGUAUUUGUGGAUAUGGUGUCAAUUUUUGCGGAUGCAGGGCUGUUUGAAUUGGGAAGGAGAGAGGGAGUUAUCACAGUUAGAAAUUGGUUCUGCUAUGAUAUGGUUAUUUGGUUGCGGAAGCAUAGUGCCAUGGCCUCGAUGAAAGAAAACGGAAGCGAUGAGAAGGAAUCUUGA
Vicia faba (fava bean) is the source of this 249-nucleotide non-coding RNA. NCBI's taxonomy places the organism in Eukaryota, Viridiplantae, Streptophyta, Magnoliopsida, Fabales, Fabaceae. The record is from the annotation of a GenBank genome assembly.